Molecule: ribosomal RNA, 266 nt
Filed under: Gephyromantis sergei
Lineage: Eukaryota; Metazoa; Chordata; Amphibia; Anura; Mantellidae
Description: partial 16S ribosomal RNA
Rfam family: Bacterial large subunit ribosomal RNA
Source: RNAcentral
CUAUAAGACGAGAAGACCCCAUGGAGCUUUAAGCUAGCUUCACAUCUGUUUUGUACGCCCUUUGAUUAAACAGAGCACUGCCUGCUUAGCUUUAGGUUGGGGUGACCGCGGAAUAUAACACAACUUCCGCGAUGUGCAACUAUUUUCCUAUCUAAGAAUUACUAUUCUAAGAAUUAGCAUUCUAACAUACAAUGAUCCGAUAAUCGAUCAACGGACUAAGUUACCCUGGGGAUAACAGCGCAAUCCAUUUCAAGAGCCCCUAUCGA